AGAUUAGUGUGGUUUUGGUGAUUUGAUUGACCUUUAGUGUUUGAUUCUUGUUUUUUUUUUUGCUUAUAUCACAUUGUAUCCUAAUUAAUUUUGCUUUUGAUUGAUGUCAGGUUAAUAUCAUUGAUAUGACUGGUGUAAUCUUAGCCCUAUGCAGUGUUGGUGGUGUGCAGAGUCAGCCUAUUACAGUCGACAUGCAAAUGAGGAGAUUAAAAGUUGCAAGAAUCUACAGCAAAUGGAGUUUACUCCAGGUGUGCAUCCCAACACCAUUUUGAGCAGAAUCAAAAAGACAACGCAAACAACAAUGAUGCACAGAAGCAGCUGGGAAGAAAAGAAAUCGUAAUAGCUCAGAAAAAUGUAGGUAAAAACAUUUUUCUAGCCUAAACAGGUGCUUUAUGUAUUUCGCUAACGAUCUGGAAUGUUACCAAUAAUAUUUUUAUAUGUUAGUGUAAUCUCAAUAAGAAUCACAAUUGGUUAAGCCUUUAGAGGAUCAUAUGUACAAGAAGAAAAGAAAAACAAUGCAAAAAUUCUAUGUA
Molecule: long non-coding RNA, 533 nt
Organism: Brassica napus (rape)
Lineage: Eukaryota; Viridiplantae; Streptophyta; Magnoliopsida; Brassicales; Brassicaceae
Exons: 2
Source: RefSeq, a predicted model, not a curated record